This 1194-nucleotide long non-coding RNA is filed under the name Gossypium raimondii (Peruvian cotton). Its description in RNAcentral is "long non-coding RNA (GRAI_LNC004292)". The record is from RNAcentral. Lineage: Eukaryota; Viridiplantae; Streptophyta; Magnoliopsida; Malvales; Malvaceae.
GGGUGUUACACUCUACCUUUUCGAGUCUAACUGUACCUAAGCGUUAAAAAUAAACACGUUAAGCCGGUGAAGGCUUAGUAAGAACUACAAGAAUUAAAUAGAUAAAUGAAACAUAACAUAAUAUUUUAAACUUAUUCAACUAAUACAUAUUUACACAACUUAUUCAACUAAUACAUAUUUACACACAUACAAGUUUCUUGAACUAUACCUUACUUUAAUGAAAUUUAACUUACCUUUUGUAAGUUAUUAAACUUACCUCAAUACAUUAAUGAUUCACUUUUGUUCACAACUCAUAUUCUUAUCCUAAAGUAGACUUUAUAGAACAUACCGAAUGUACGGAACAAACACAGAGGUGCAUUAUUAUGCACUAUUAAAUAGAGAGCACUAAUGUGCUAAUAAUCGGAGAGCGCGCUAAGGUCCCUUAAUGGCAUGCCACUAAUAUCCUAGUAGCUCUAAAUUCUGUCUACUUGGGCAUUAAAGCUGCAUUUCAUAUAUUUAAAUACUUUACAUAAAUAUUUCGAAAAAGAUUUCUCAUUUCUCUAUCAUCUACAAUUUAGUCCCCAUUUUACAAAUCACAAAUAUCACACCUUUUUCACACAUAUACUUUUACCACAACAUCAUUACUUAGUGUUCAAACAUUAUACCAUUUCAUAUUCUCCACCUAUAAUUUUCUUUACAAAUUUCAUAAUUUCAUAAUCUAACCUUUUUUUUUAUCCAUUUACAAAUUUAAAUAUAUAUAUAUAUAUAUUACAUUUCUAUUCUAAGUAAUUUCAUACUACAAUAUAAGCAUUUAAAUAAAAAUAAUUUAAAAAUCUUGUAGUACUUACAACAAAAAGGUUGAGAUGAUGUAUUUUCUUCUUCCUUCACUCCUUAGUCUUCUCUUUCCCUUUUUCUUCAAUUAGGUCCUCUCCUUUCUUUUCUUUAUUUUCAAUUUCAUAUAAAACAUAUACCAUUUAUAUGUUAAAAAAACACAAUCAAAUGACUUUCCUAUACUAUUUAAUAAAAAUAAACAUGUAUGAUAUGAUAAUUUUAUCAUUUCUUACCUUAGCUCUUUAAUUUUUACUAAAGAAAUUUCAAAGAAAAAUGAAGGUUUGAAGCUUGGAUGGUUCAUGAAUAGAAUUAAAAGAAAGUUGGAUGGAAGUUGGGGGGAGAAGAAGUAGUGACGGUUUGGUGUUUUGAGAAAAUAUGAUAUCU